GCCUCCUUAGCUCAGUGGUAGAGCGCUUGUCUUGUACCAUCUGGCACAUGAGAGAACAAGAGGUCGGUGGUUCAAUCCCGCCAGGGGGCA
This is a non-coding RNA of Coemansia sp. RSA 2705, 90 nucleotides long. The record is from the annotation of a GenBank genome assembly. NCBI's taxonomy places the organism in Eukaryota, Fungi, Kickxellomycota, Kickxellomycetes, Kickxellales, Kickxellaceae.